GAUGAAGAACGUAGCGAAAUGCGAUAAGUAAUGUGAAUUGCAGAAUUCAGUGAAUCAUCGAAUCUUUGAACGCACCUUGCGCCCUUUGGCUAUUCCGAAGGGUAUGCUCGUUUGAGUGUCAUUGUACUCUCACUCUCCCGAUCUUUGGAUCGGGAGUGGUGGACUUGGGUGUUGCUGCUUUACCGUGGCUCACCUCAAAUGGAUUCGUGCAACUCCUGGUUGGACAUAGUACGGCGUGAUAAGUGUCUUCGCCGGCACCUCACUAGAGGGUGGCUGACCGGGAGCUCUGUGCUUCAAACCGUCUUCGGACAACAACUGACAACUUGACCUCAAAUCGAGUAGGACCACCCGCUGAACUUAAGCAUAUCAAUAAGCGGAGGA
RNAcentral lists this unclassified non-coding RNA (381 nucleotides) under soil metagenome. RNAcentral's name for it is "partial contains 5.8S ribosomal RNA, internal transcribed spacer 2, and large subunit ribosomal RNA". The stretch from base 1 to 121 matches the Rfam family "5.8S ribosomal RNA", at positions 35 to 154 of the family's 154-position model. The record is from RNAcentral.